Ciona savignyi (Pacific transparent sea squirt) is the source of this 70-nucleotide non-coding RNA. NCBI's taxonomy places the organism in Eukaryota, Metazoa, Chordata, Ascidiacea, Phlebobranchia, Cionidae. The record is from Rfam.
GACUCCGUGGCGCAACGGUAGCGCGUCCGACUCCAGAUCGGAAGGUGCGUGAUCAAACAUGUCGGCGUCA